GACAGAGGUCGCAAGCGUUGUUCGGAUUUACUGGGCGUAAAGGGCGUGUAGGCGGAUGUGCAAGUCGGGGGUGAAAGGCCAGGGCUCAACCCGGGACGGUCUCCCGAAACUGCGCAUCUCGAGAAAGUCAGAGGCAGGUGGAAUUCCAGGUGUAGAGGUGAAAUUCGUAGAGAUCUGGAGGAACACCGGCGGCGAAGGCGGCCUGCUGGGGCUUUUCUGACGCUGAGGCGCGAAAGCGUGGGGAGCAAACAGG
Molecule: ribosomal RNA, 253 nt
Filed under: uncultured bacterium
Lineage: Bacteria
Description: partial 16S ribosomal RNA
Rfam family: Bacterial small subunit ribosomal RNA
Source: RNAcentral